This 623-nucleotide ribosomal RNA is filed under the name uncultured archaeon. Its description in RNAcentral is "bacterial SSU rRNA". It matches the Rfam family "Archaeal small subunit ribosomal RNA", at positions 146 to 774 of the family's 1478-position model. The record is from RNAcentral.
GUAAUACUCCAUAGUUCGUUAUUACUGGAAUGUUUUUCGAACGAAAGAUCCGUCGCUUCAGGAUGAGUCUGCGGCCGAUUAGGUAGUUGUUGGGGUAAUUGCCCAACAAGCCUGUAAUCGGUACGGGUUGUGGGAGCAAGAGCCCGGAGAUGGAUUCUGAGACACGAAUCCAGGCCCUACGGGGCGCAGCAGGCGCGAAAACUUUACCAUGCGGGCAACCGUGAUAAGGAAACCCCGAGUGCCAGCACAGGCUGGCUGUCCGCCAGUUUAAAAAACUGGUGAGGAAAGGGCCGGGCAAGACCGGUGCCAGCCGCCGCGGUAAUACCGGCGGCUCGAGUGGUGGCCACUAUUACUGGGCUUAAAGGGUCCGUAGCUUGAUAUGCAAGUCUUUUGAGAAAUCCGCCAGCUUAACUGGCGGGCGUUCAGGGGAAACUGCAUUUCUUGGGACCGGGAGAGGUGAGAGGUACUGCCGGGGUAGGAGUGAAAUCCUGUAAUCCCGGUGGGACCACCUAUAGCGAAGGCAUCUCACCAGAACGGGUCCGACAGUGAGGGACGAAAGCUGGGGGAGCAAACCGGAUUAGAUACCCGGGUAGUCCCAGCUGUAAACGAUGCGCGUUAGGUGU